RNAcentral lists this non-coding RNA (266 nucleotides) under Fictibacillus phosphorivorans. RNAcentral describes it as "T-box sequence". It matches the Rfam family "T-box leader". From Rfam's summary of the family: Uncharged tRNA acts as the effector for transcription antitermination of genes in the T-box leader family. T-boxes are found upstream of many aminoacyl-tRNA synthetase genes and some amino acid biosynthetic genes usually in Gram-positive bacteria. The record is from RNAcentral. Lineage: Bacteria; Bacillati; Bacillota; Bacilli; Caryophanales; Fictibacillaceae.
CUAAACGCGAUGAUAAGGAAAGUAAGUCAACCCUCAUUUUCUUACAGAGAGCUUCGUUAGCUGAAAAGAAGCAGAAAAUAGUUGAUUGAAAAUGGUCUUUGAGCAGCAAAGUCGACUUCAAUAAUGAUUUAGACUUUGACGAGAUUUGGCACUCGUUAUAAAUGUCAAAGUAUAAGAGUGUUUCAUUUACUCCGUACUUUUUGAGGCUAAUAAUGUGAGUUAUUGGUAAAUUAAGGUGGUAACACGAGAUAAACCUCGUCCUUAGG